This 322-nucleotide ribosomal RNA is filed under the name uncultured bacterium. Its description in RNAcentral is "bacterial SSU rRNA". It matches the Rfam family "Bacterial small subunit ribosomal RNA", at positions 794 to 1117 of the family's 1533-position model. The record is from RNAcentral.
UCCACGCCGUAAACGGUGGGCACUAGUUGUGGGGACCUUCCACGGUCUCUGCGACGCAGCUAACGCAUUAAGUGCCCCGCCUGGGGAGUACGAUCGCAAGAUUAAAACUCAAAGGAAUUGACGGGGCCCCGCACAAGCAGCGGAGCAUGCGGCUUAAUUCGACGCAACGCGAAGAACCUUACCAAGGCUUGACAUAUACAGGAAUAUGGCAGAGAUGUCAUAGCCGCAAGGUCUGUAUACAGGUGGUGCAUGGUUGUCGUCAGCUCGUGUCGUGAGAUGUUGGGUUAAGUCCCGCAACGAGCGCAACCCUCGUUCUGUGUUG